CCCCCACCCUCCGCGCCUCCCCGUCGGUCGGUCGGUCGGUCCGUCGGUCGGUCGCCGGGCAGCGCACCUGGCGCGCGGGUGCGUCGCGCGCGGCAGGGAUUUCGGCCCCGGCCGCCCGUCUCUUCCCACGACGCGGCCUGCCAGCCCCGACGGCACGGAGGCUGCCCGGGACCCAGGGGCCGGGCUCCCCGCGCCCGCGGCCCUCGCCCCGGACGCCACGGCGGGCCCCCGAGUCGGAGGCGAGGGGCUCCCGGGACCCCCGGCCCAGGGCGGGGCCUCCGACGGCGCGGGCCCCCCCCGGACCAAAGGCGGUGGGCCCCCUCCCCGGCAGCCCCCGGCCCAGGCCCCUGGCCGCGGCGACAUGCCCGAGCUGGUGGUGACGGCGCUGCUCGCCCCGUCGCGCCUGUCGCUCUCGCUGCUGCGCUUCUGCAUGUGGGUCGCCGUCUACGCCGCCGCGCUGCUGGCCGCCGCCGCCUACACCUGCGCCGCGCUGCUCGGGGUGCUGUGCCGGCCCCGCCUGGGCUGCUGCGGCCGCCCCCGGAGCUCCCCGCCCGCCGGCCUGCGCGACCCCGCGCUGGGCGAGCACCGCUUCCUCGCGCUGCAGAGCUCGGGGCUGCGGCUGCACUACGUGUCGGCGGGUCGCGGGAACGGGCCGCUCCUGCUCUUCCUGCACGGCUUCCCGGAGACCUGGUUCUCCUGGCGCCACCAGCUCCGCGAGUUCGGGCCCCACUUCCACGCGGUGGCCGUGGACAUGCGGGGCUACGGCGGCUCGGACAAGCCCGGCGGGGUGGACAGCUACACCCUGGACCUGCUGGCCGCCGACGUGCGGGACGUGGUGCACGGCCUGGGCUACUCCAAGUGUGUGCUGGUGGCCCAUGACUGGGGCGGGGUGAUAGCCUGGCACGUCUCCACCUACUACCCAGCCCUGGUGGAGCGCAUGGUGGUGAUCAGUGCCCCGCCCAGGCCCGUGUUCCAAGAGUUCUCUCUGCGCCACGUCACCCAGCUCUUCCGUUCCAAUUACAUGUUCCUGUUCCAGCUGCGCUGGCUCCCCGAGAAGCUGCUGUCCAUGUCUGACUUCCAGCUCCUGAAGACCACCCUGGCCCACUACAAGCGGGGUAUCCCCCAGCUGAGCCCCAGUGAGCUGGAGGCCUGCCUGUACGACUUCACCCAGCCGGGAGGGCUCACCGGACCCCUCAACUAUUACCGCAACCUGUUCAGGGACUUCCCCCUGGAGCCCCAGGAGCUGUCCACACCCACGCUGCUGCUCUGGGGGGACCAGGACCCGGUUCUGGACAAGAGGCUGGUGGAUGCUAUCGGGGCCCACUUCAUGCCGGGACGCCUAGAGGCUCAUGUGCUGCCAGGGGUGGGCCACUGGGCCCCCCAGAGCCACGCCGCCCUGGUGCACCACUACAUGUGGGCCUUCCUGGGGGACCUGCCCCGCUAGCCCACCCCCUCCCCAAGGGCGGGUGUGAGUCUGGGAGUGGGGGCCUCUCCUCCCCUGUCCGCACCGCCUCUGGGAAGAGAGGACUGAACAGAUCUUGAGCCUUGACCUCCUCGCCCUCCACCCCAAGCUGGAAAGAGAGAGAGAAAGAGAUCGGGCAGAGGUUACAGGAAAGAGAGAGAGAGAGAUCGGGUGGAGGGUACAGGGUUAAGAGAUAUAGAGAGAUCGGGUGGAGGGUACAGGGUUAAGAGAUAUAGAGAGAUCGGGUGGAGGUCACAGGAUAGAAAGAGAGAGAUAGGGUGGUGGUCACAGGGUUAAGAGAGAGAGAGAGAGAUUGGGCAGUGGUCACAGGGUUAAGUGCACAUUGUACUAAGCACCAGGACCUCUCCAUGGAUCCAGGUUCAAGCCACCGGCUCCCCACUUGCAGGGGGAUGCUUCACUAGUGGUGAAGUAGGUCUGCAGGUCUCUCUCUCUCUCUCUCUAUAUAUAUAUAUAUAGAAAGAAAGAAAGAGGGAGUCGGGAGGUAGGUCAAUGAGUUAAGGCAAAGCGCAAGGACCGGCAUAAGGAUCCCGGUUCGAGCCCCCGGCUCCCCACCUGCAGGGGAGUCGCUUCCCAGGCGGUGAAGCAGGUCUGCAGGUGUCUGUCUUUCUCUCCCCCUCUCUGUCUUCCCCUCCUCUCUCCAUUUCUCUCUGUCCUACCCAACAACGACGACGACAACAAUAAAAACAACAAGGCCAACAAAAGGAGAAAUAAAUAAAUAAUAAAAAGGGGGCAGGGGUAGGUAGCAUCAUGGUUCUGCAAAGAGACUCCUAUUCCUUAGGUUCCAAAGUCCCAAGUUCAACCCCCUGCACCACCAUCAGCCAGAGCUGAGCAGUGUGCUCUGGUAAAAUAAAUAAAUGGAAAAAAUAAGAAGGAAGAAAGAAAGAAAGAGAGAGAGAGAGAGAGAGGUGGGGAAUGUGAUGCAUGUACAAACUAUUAUAUUUACUGUUGAAUGUAAAACAUGAAUUCCCCAAUAAAGAAAUUUUAAAAAAGAAAGAAAGAAAAAGGAAGUGGUCUGGGAGGUGGCACAGUGGAUAAAGGUUUGGACUCUCAAGCAUGAGGUCCCGAGUUUAAUCCCCGACAGCACAUGGACCAGAGUGAUGUCUGGAUCUCUCUCUCUUCCUACCUUUCUAAUAAAUAAAUAACUAACUUUAAAAGAGAGAGAGAGAGAGAGAGAGGAAAAAGAACCGAAUAAAGUCAGUUUCAAGGUGGCUCUGUCUCUCUGCCGACCUCUGAGGAGGCUGGCUCCUUCCUGUCUGCAUUUUUUUUUCUCUAGGUGACUGUUUCUUCCAAUAAACUUCCUGUCAAAUAAA
RNA transcript from Erinaceus europaeus (western European hedgehog), 2793 nucleotides. It is a transcript of the gene named epoxide hydrolase 3, with no coding region annotated. The record is from RefSeq and is a predicted model, not a curated record. Lineage: Eukaryota; Metazoa; Chordata; Mammalia; Eulipotyphla; Erinaceidae. The transcript has 9 exons.